UACGUAGGGGGCAAGCGUUGUCCGGAUUUAUUGGGCGUAAAGAGCGUGUAGGCGGCCAGGUAGGUCCGUUGUGAAAACUCGAGGCUCAACCUCGAGACGUCGGUUGAAACCACCUGGCUAGAGUCCGGAAGAGGAGAGUGGAAUUCCUGGUGUAGCGGUGAAAUGCGUAGAUAUCGAGAGGAACACCUGCGGCGAAGGCGGGUUGCUGGGCUGACACUGACGCUGAUGCGCGAAAGCCAGGGGAGCGAACGGG
This 253-nucleotide ribosomal RNA is filed under the name uncultured bacterium. RNAcentral's name for it is "partial 16S ribosomal RNA". It matches the Rfam family "Bacterial small subunit ribosomal RNA", at positions 524 to 776 of the family's 1533-position model. The record is from RNAcentral.